GUGAACAAGUAACUGUCAACGGUAUAAGUUAAGACUAGCAGAAGGUGGGGAUGUAAGAAGGAGGGAGGAGGCCAGGGGCCUCUGGAAGGUUCCCAGAGGAGGUGUGUACUUUGCUGGUUCACAUACCCCAAGCUCUGCUGCUCACAGUGUUCUAGCCCAGACUCCUUCGCCAGUUCACAGCUGUCGGAAUGUGGCCAGCCUCACUCCUGCUUCCCCCAAAAUAGGAUCCUUGCUGUAGGAUCUACCUUGCUAGAAAAGGGUGUAGUCCAGCCCCUUCCUGUGAGAACACCAGAGGCUUGGUGCAAGAACUUCUUCAUACACGUUUCCACAACAGGACUCGGCCUUGCCAACUUGAUGCCACGUUUUGUGCCUGAAAGCUGACUAUUUCCAGAACUGUAUCACAGGAGCCUAGUGGGGCCACCGCAAGGCCUGAAAAGGGUGUGACGCAACCUGGGUCCCCGGAUGAGUACACAGCAGUCCUCACCCUCUCUACUUCCCUCAGCCUGGCCAAGCUGUAUGGGAUUUGUGUGCUGUUUAUAGAACUGCCCUUUUAUUCUUGAAGCUGAAAGCUUUACUGGGUGUUAAAUUCCAGCUUCAGACUGCUGUUUGUGCUCCUGGAUGAAGAAAAAAAAAAAAAAGAGAUGGGCUUUAAAGCUUUCAAA
Molecule: long non-coding RNA, 662 nt
Filed under: Mus spicilegus (steppe mouse)
Lineage: Eukaryota; Metazoa; Chordata; Mammalia; Rodentia; Muridae
Description: lncRNA (ENSMSIG00000009877.1)
Source: RNAcentral